CCGGGAGGUCCCGCGGGCAGCUCCCGGUCCUGGCCGGGGGUUCCCGUCCCGGCUUCGCGCCGUUGGGCUCCUCGGAGCUCGGGGCCGGGUCAGAGCUUGGUCUCCACGCCGAGGCCGCCGGCAGGAGGGGAGCGGUGCUGAGAGGCCGAGGUGGAAGUGUGACUUAGAAUGGUGGCGGCCCCGCCACUUGGAUGGCGUGGAAGUCGCUCACCGCUCGCAGUACUGCCACGAGCGCUGUGGCCGGGAUGUGGGGAAGGGCCGUGAUGGUUCUCAGAGAUAGCGAGGCCUGCGGUUCUCCUUACGGCGGGAUCGAAGGAGGAGAAGGGCUGACAAGGUCAAGCAGGGGCUGUGCAGGUGGACUACAGGGCAGCGUCAACGCAAGGACUGAGGAACCUGGCGUCCCUACGGAUUUGUUGCCUGUGUGUUCUAUACUUGCCAUGCCAUCAGCCAAGGUACCUUGAUGACACCCUUUCUGCAAUGCACCACAGCCCCUCGCCUGUAGCCGAUGCCUUGGGCUCCUCCUCCACCACUCUCCAGCACACACAGCUUCCUCGGUAUUUUCUGCUUAAUUUAUUUCAGCCUGCUGGCCAGACUGCUCUGACCAGCAGGGUUUUGCCCAGCAGCAUGGCCAUGGGGUCUCCUCCAGCACAUUCACCAGCAGCAUCUCUGUCUGGCUGCUGGUUCUCCCUCGUACAAGUUGUUGGAGCUUAUUUACCUUUCAGACUCUGCUUCAUUUGUCAAGCCCAGCUGAACGCGGCCCGUGGCAACUGAGAGAUGAGCAGAUGGACUGACGGACAGCAGAGCAACUGCAGGAGCCUCACUGCCCUCAGGACACAAAGCUAAAUCAGAGCAUUAGAGGUCCACUUGGCCUCAGGACUGGUGUAAAUAACCUCUACGUGAUGACUGUGCCAGGCAGAAAUAACAGUCUUGCAUCCUUCUGGGUGUGAUGGUGCAGAAGGUACGUUAUCGAUCGUGGUCCAAAUCUUGGCCAAAUACACAACAGAGGGAGUUGUCACAUUUCCAUCUUCGUUUUGUCAUCACAUCACCUUCACUCGCACACCCUCAGAAUAACACUUCUUGCUUAAUAUAUCUCUCAUCUUCCCUUUUCCACAGCCAUCCACCUGCACCAGCAACGGGGACUCAAAUGUCCCCGUUGUUUCUUGCUACCUUUCCUUUCAGCCCAUCCCAAGUGCCUCCUUUUGCCACUCUGCUUCUCCAGAGCCAUGCUCCCAAAGAAGCGUGCCUUUCCCUUUAUGUCAGGUGAGAGUGAUGUAAGCAUGACAUCAGCCCCUGCGCUUGCUGUUCCCAUCGCCUCAAUGCCUUUCCUGACUUCUCUUACACCUCCCAGGGUUUCCUUGAUCCCCACAGCAUCUUCCUCCUCCUCCUUCUCUUUUCUGCCUCUGGCUCUUUUACUUCCUUCUGCACUUUUGCUCUUCAGGGGGAUUUUCAGUGUUUGCGUCAUUUGGAUUUUCGCCCUUUAACUGACCUUUCCCUGGUUGAAUUUUCUCAACUGUUUUGUGCUUCCCAAUUAUUCUAAACACAUUCAUCAUAAUUUGAAAAGGUCAGAAGGAGCCCGCCUGGCUGAGGUAGCCCCUUCCAGAGCUUUCUGCCCUCGGCUCCCCCUGGACCCCAACCAUGACAAGUCUCCAGGCAGCACUGUGAUGCCCUGCCCUACCCUCUAGCCGCCCUGAGCAGCGGCGUGCCGGCACGUCCAGCCAGGCACAGUCACUGUCCCGAAUGCGAAAAUCCCAUGGACUCUCCCAAAGGCUUACAAAAGCCCUGAUGGGUGAAAGGUGUGCACGGUCCUGCUCACACGUGUGGGAACUGACGGAGGGCCUGACGGACAGCAGCAGCCCCAGCGCCCUAAGGUGUGUCGGAUGGCACAGCCUGUUCCAGGCAAUGCGCUGCACUCGGGCUGGGUACUGAGUGCCCGUUGGUCACCUGUGUCGGUUCCCGGUGCUGUGGCAGGUUGCUUCAUAGAGCAGCGCCGUCUGUACUAUUUCCUG
This 2006-nucleotide long non-coding RNA is filed under the name Gallus gallus (chicken). Lineage: Eukaryota; Metazoa; Chordata; Aves; Galliformes; Phasianidae. The record is from RNAcentral.